CUCAAGGUAUCUGAAUACGCUUACAAGGAUUGGAACAUGAAAGUGUUGUGUGAUGGGUUCCCCCUGCCUCGAAGCCCUCUCCCUCAAAAACAUGCUUUACUUGAGUAGUAUCGAUAUAGAAGAAGGUGGAAUGCCGCACCUCAAGCAUCUCCGGAUCCAUAAAUGCGAGAAGCUGGAUGCUAAGAAUCUGUGGGAGCACAUCAAGACCACAACAGUGUAUAAUUAGUUAUAAGGCAGAUUGCGUAGUUACAAACUUGCAAUGCAUAACUUUGUCUCUGUUUUGCGUUAUAUUAUAUUUUGCGUUUAUGUGGUUCGAUAACAUUUUCAGCUGCAUCUGCAGUAUGUAUCUCCAACGGAUCGGGUUCAUUGCUGUAGCUAAAAGGGGGUUAUAGCCUUCAAGAAAUUCCUGCAAGAAGGUAACAGUUUAAGGAGAGAUUGAACUUGUUGUUUGUCGAUAGAAUUUGGAGAGGAAAGGUGGUGCUCGAUUUGAUCGAUGAUAUGCGCAAGAGAAACUAAUAGGCUGCCACGAUUAAUCUCAGUUGAAGGGAAAAACUGUCUUAUAUUUUUUCUUGUAGAAUUUCGGACAAGAAUUUGUUAGAAUUUUUAGUUUAGCUUUGCGGAAUGAUUUUGUUAUGAGCCAUUCUUUCUCGUCUUAGAUCCGAUUUGAGCCCACGA
This 675-nucleotide long non-coding RNA is filed under the name Salvia miltiorrhiza (redroot sage). RNAcentral describes it as "long non-coding RNA (SMIL_LNC013498)". Lineage: Eukaryota; Viridiplantae; Streptophyta; Magnoliopsida; Lamiales; Lamiaceae. The record is from RNAcentral.